RNAcentral lists this ribosomal RNA (468 nucleotides) under uncultured bacterium. RNAcentral describes it as "partial 16S ribosomal RNA". It matches the Rfam family "Bacterial small subunit ribosomal RNA", at positions 28 to 507 of the family's 1533-position model. The record is from RNAcentral.
GACGAACGCUGGCGGCGUGCUUAACACAUGCAAGUCGAACGGAAAGGCCCUGCUUUUGUGGGGUGCUCGAGUGGCGAACGGGUGAGUAACACGUGAGUAACCUGCCCUUGACUUUGGGAUAACUUCAGGAAACUGGGGCUAAUACCGGAUAGGAGCUCCUGCUGCAUGGUGGGGGUUGGAAAGUUUCGGCGGUUGGGGAUGGACUCGCGGCUUAUCAGCUUGUUGGUGGGGUAGUGGCUUACCAAGGCUUUGACGGGUAGCCGGCCUGAGAGGGUGACCGGCCACAUUGGGACUGAGAUACGGCCCAGACUCCUACGGGAGGCAGCAGUGGGGAAUAUUGCACCAUGGGCGGAAGCCUGAUGCAGCAACGCCGCGUGCGGGAUGACGGCCUUCGGGUUGUAAACCGCUUUCGCCUGUGACGAAGCGUGAGUGACGGUAAUGGGUAAAGAAGCACCGGCUAACUACGUG